Long non-coding RNA from Eriocheir sinensis (Chinese mitten crab), 595 nucleotides. RefSeq lists it as uncharacterized. The transcript is spliced from 3 exons. NCBI's taxonomy places the organism in Eukaryota, Metazoa, Arthropoda, Malacostraca, Decapoda, Varunidae. The record is from RefSeq and is a predicted model, not a curated record.
UUGGGGUUUUGUUAGGUUAGGUUAGGUUAGGUUAGGUUGAGAAUGGGGGUAGGGGUGUGUGUGAGAGAGAGGCACUGAGUCAAGAUGUAUGGUAAUUGUUUGGGGUUUUGUUAGGUUAGGUUAGGUUAGGUUAGGUUGAGAAUGGGGGGAGGGGUGUGUGUGAGAGAGAGGCAUUGAGUCAAGAUGUAUGGUAAUUGUUUGGGGUUUUGUUAGGUUAGGUUAGGUUAGGUUAGGUUGAGAAUGGGGGGAGGGGUGUGUGUGAGAGAGAGGCAUUGAGUCAAGAUGUAUGGUAAUUGUUUGGGGUUUUGUUAGAUUAGGUUAGGUUGAGAAUGGGGGGAGGGGUUUGUGUGAGAGAGAGGCAUUGAGUCAAGAUGUAUGGUAAUUGUUUGGGGUUUUGUUAGGUUAGGUUAGGUUAGGUUAGGUUGAGAAUGGGGGGAGGGGUGUGUGUGAGAGAGAGGCAUUGAGUCAAGAUGUAUGGUAAUUGUUUGGGGUUUUGUUAGGUUAGGUUAGGUUAGGUUAGGUUGAGAAUGGGGGGAGGGGUGUGUGUGAGAGAGAGGCACUGAGUCAAGAUGUAUGGUAAUUGUUUGGGGUUUUG